UCGGGUAUGGUGUAGCGGUAACAUAGUUGACUCUCACUUCUCAGAAGUGUCUGUUUAGAUUCAGUCUAGAAAUCUCUCAACAGCCCCGGGUUCGACUCCCGGUAUCCGAG
This is a transfer RNA of Podospora anserina, 110 nucleotides long. It matches the Rfam family "tRNA". Rfam says of the family: Transfer RNA (tRNA) molecules are approximately 80 nucleotides in length. Their secondary structure includes four short double-helical elements and three loops (D, anti-codon, and T loops). Further hydrogen bonds mediate the characteristic L-shaped molecular structure. tRNAs have two regions of fundamental functional importance: the anti-codon, which is responsible for specific mRNA codon recognition, and the 3' end, to which the tRNAs corresponding amino acid is attached (by aminoacyl-tRNA synthetases). tRNAs cope with the degeneracy of the genetic code in two manners: having more than one tRNA (with a specific anti-codon) for a particular amino acid; and 'wobble' base-pairing, i.e. permitting non-standard base-pairing at the 3rd anti-codon position. The record is from Rfam. Lineage: Eukaryota; Fungi; Ascomycota; Sordariomycetes; Sordariales; Podosporaceae.